AGCGAACGCUGGCGGCAGGCCUAACACAUGCAAGUCGAACGAACCUUUCGGGGUUAGUGGCGGACGGGUGAGUAACACGUGGGAACGUGCCUUUAGGUUCGGAAUAACUCAGGGAAACUUGUGCUAAUACCGAAUGUGGCCUUCGGGGGAAAGAUUAAUCGCCUUUAGAGCGGCCCGCGUCUGAUUAGCUAGUUGGUUGAGGUAAUGGCUCACCAAGGCGACGAUCAGUAGCUGGUCUGAGAGGAUGAUCAGCCACAUUGGGACUGAGACACGGCCCAAACUCCUACGGGAGGCAGCAGUGGGGAAUCUUGCGCAAUGGGCGAAAGCCUGACGCAGCCAUGCCGCGUGAAUGAUGAAGGUCUUAGGAUUGUAAAAUUCUUUCACCGGGGACGAUAAUGACGGUACCCGGAGAAGAAGCCCCGGCUAACUUCGUG
Molecule: ribosomal RNA, 434 nt
Filed under: uncultured bacterium
Lineage: Bacteria
Description: partial 16S ribosomal RNA
Rfam family: Bacterial small subunit ribosomal RNA
Source: RNAcentral